This is a long non-coding RNA of Equus quagga, 1554 nucleotides long. RefSeq lists it as uncharacterized. NCBI's taxonomy places the organism in Eukaryota, Metazoa, Chordata, Mammalia, Perissodactyla, Equidae. The record is from RefSeq and is a predicted model, not a curated record. The transcript is spliced from 2 exons.
GUAAACUGCAUCAACGUCCUGUUGUGUCUUUUGGCCCAGUGUGGCCUCAACGUGCACUGACAUGGUGGGGAGCAAUGGCACUGCCCUGCAACUGUGCCAAUCUAGUUACUGCCGUGGCCAUCUGGGGCACCCACAGGCUCCAGCCUCCUGGGAUCAGCUGACUCCCCAUGAACGAAAUUCCAGUUGCCUUGAAACUAAGCCUUCACAUCUGAUUGGAACUUGAGCUUUGGCCCGAAUUAGGGAAGAGAAAGGAACCAAAACGUGUUUAACUCAUGUUCUGAGUUAGGAUUGUCCCAUUAUGUGACAAUUUAGGUGCAGACCAUGAAGCCCAGGCUCAAACUAGGGCCCUCCUUGUGCUCUCUGCUACAUCCGACGUCUAUUUGCUUUAGGACCCACCACCUUGAAGGAAGACACGAUGUCCACAAUGGGGAGGAUCGAGGCAUUCAGAUGGAGAUCCUGAGUCUUCCUGUGAUGGCUCUGACUGGUACUGGUUGGAGAAAGUCGCACGUGUCCACUCACAACCCAGCUCUUCGACAUCCAGAAGAGAACAUGGGACACCCGCACGGCGAGGCUCUGCAUGCUGGUUCUCACGUCAUUUCUCCUCACACGCUUCGGGUACCACUGUACGGCGUAGAAUGUCUUUGUUAAUACAAACGCAGGAGCUCCAACACUUUCAACCUCGUUCAUCAAUGGCGCCAUGGUCACCUGGUAGACCAUGCUUUUAAUUCAAGCUCCUUCUCGUGUUCAAAACAUUCUUGGAACCCAUCUUUUAAAGACUCCCUUCCAAAGGUGCUGCAUUCUUGAAUAUCCUCAGUGAAUGAAAUCAUCACACUUUGGGGGAGAGUUUGAUUUUUGGAAACAGUCAAACAUCUUGAUAGCAGUUUAGUAAGCGUGGUCACUUCUGAAGCUAAAGAAUAUUGUUAGUAGUGUUAAAGGAAGUGUGAUAAUAAGUAAAGAGAUUUGCCUUGGAAAUGACUGGAAAAACAUUUCUGAAUAGAGCUAUGUUUUAGCGACAGCAGCAUUCUCAGGGGAAAUUUGGUAGCUUCCCAAAGUGACUCUCCUGAUGGGGCCAAUGAUUUAGUUCCAUUUGUCUUAGCUCUGCAGGUGUCAUAUGUUUUAUUUAAUGAUGAUGUUGAUCCUUUUUACAAUACUUAGCAAUGAAGUAGCCCCUCCCUCCAUCCUCCCACCCCCAUGUUCGCAAUAUACAUAGAAUCUUUAUGAAGUUGCAGAGGGAAGACGGGAAACAAAUCCAUUACCAAGGAGAGCGGCACCUUACCCUGACCUAGAGGAGGAAUCCCAAGGCUGCCAAGAGCUUAGGGAAGAAGAAGUGCAGUGCAGAGCAUCUUUCUGCAGAGCACCCCAGCUCCACUAUUCUGGACCUUCGGGGGGAUAGAGCACCAACGGAGAACUAUAGCUGAGGCACGUCUGCUAUGGUGAGCAGAAAGCAACCUACACGCUGUGACGUCUUUGAAACCACUGCCUGGUGUCCAGGGGAACCUUGCCCAUCAGUCAUGAUAACAAUGAAUUCAAGUAAAAAAUGAUUUUGUGGUUGAA